UCGAUGAAGAACGCAGCGAAAUGCGAUAAGUAGUGUGAAUUGCAGAAUUCAGUGAAUCAUCGAAUCUUUGAACGCACAUUGCGCCCCUUGGUAUUCCAUGGGGCAUGCCUGUUCGAGCGUCAUUUGUACCUUCAAGCUCUGCUUGGUGUUGGGUGUUUGUCUCGCCUCUGCGUGUAGACUCGCCUCAAAACAAUUGGCAGCCGGCGUAUUGAUUUCGGAGCGCAGUACAUCUCGCGCUUUGCACUCAGAACGACGACGUCCAAAAGUACAUUUUACACUCUUGACCUCGGAUCAGGUAGGGAUACCCGCUGAACUUAA
Molecule: ribosomal RNA, 318 nt
Filed under: uncultured Phoma
Lineage: Eukaryota; Fungi; Ascomycota
Description: eukaryotic LSU rRNA
Rfam family: 5.8S ribosomal RNA (bases 1-122)
Source: RNAcentral